AUCCUGGCUCAGGAUGAACGCUAGCUACAGGCUUAACACAUGCAAGUCGAGGGGCAGCAUUGGGAUAGCUUGCUAUUCAGAUGGCGACCGGCGCACGGGUGAGUAACGCGUAUCCAACCUUCCUGCCAGUAGGGAACAGCCCGGCGAAAGUCGGAUUAAUGCCCUAUGUUCUUCAAUGCGGACAUCUAAGUUGAAGGAAAGAUUCAUCGCUGGCAGAUGGGGAUGCGUCCGAUUAGCUUGCCGGCGGGGUAACGGCCCACCGGGGCGACGAUCGGUAGGGGUUCUGAGAGGAAGGUCCCCCACACUGGUACUGAGACACGGACCAGACUCCUACGGGAGGCAGCAGUGAGGAAUAUUGGUCAAUGGGCGUAAGCCUGAACCAGCCAAGUAGCGUGCAGGAAUGACGGCCCUACGGGUUGUAAACUGCUUUUAUGCGGGGAUAAAGUGCGGCACGUGUGCCGCUUUGCAGGUACCGCAUGAAUAAGGACCGGCUAAUUCCGUGCCAGCAGCGGC
This 513-nucleotide ribosomal RNA is filed under the name uncultured bacterium. RNAcentral's name for it is "bacterial SSU rRNA". It matches the Rfam family "Bacterial small subunit ribosomal RNA", at positions 16 to 518 of the family's 1533-position model. The record is from RNAcentral.